AGUGAACGCUGGCGGUAGGCCUAACACAUGCAAGUCGAACGGCAGCACAGUAAGAGCUUGCUCUUACGGGUGGCGAGUGGCGGACGGGUGAGGAAUACAUCGGAAUCUACUUUUUCGUGGGGGAUAACGUAGGGAAACUUACGCUAAUACCGCAUACGAUCUACGGGUGAAAGCAGGGGAUCUUCUGACCUUGCGCGAUUGAAUGAGCCGAUGUCGGAUUAGCUAGUUGGCGGGGUAAUGGCCCACCAAGGCGCCGAUCCGUAGCUGGUCUGAGAGGAUGAUCGGCCACACUGGAACUGAGACACGGUCCAGACUCCUACGGGAGGCAGCAGUGGGGAAUAUUGGACAAUGGGCGCAAGCCUGAUCCAGCCAUACCGCGUGGGUGAAGAAGGCCUUCGGGUUGUAAAGCCCUUUUGUUGGGAAAGAAAAGCAGCAGGUUAAUACCCCGCUGUUCUGACGGUACCCAAAGAAUAAGCACCGGCUAACUUCGUG
RNAcentral lists this ribosomal RNA (492 nucleotides) under uncultured bacterium. RNAcentral's name for it is "partial 16S ribosomal RNA". It matches the Rfam family "Bacterial small subunit ribosomal RNA", at positions 29 to 507 of the family's 1533-position model. The record is from RNAcentral.